GUCUAUAGCCAUGCCACCCUAAACAAGCCCAAUCCUGUCUGAUCUUGGAAGGUAAGCAGGGUCAAGUCUGGUUAAUACUUGGAUGGGAGACCGCCUAGGAAGACCAGGUGCUGUAGGCA
Molecule: ribosomal RNA, 119 nt
Filed under: Pteropus alecto (black flying fox)
Lineage: Eukaryota; Metazoa; Chordata; Mammalia; Chiroptera; Pteropodidae
Source: RNAcentral